AAAGUCGUAACAAGGUUUCCGUAGGUGAACCUGCGGAAGGAUCAUUACCGUGGGGCCCCGGCCCCGUCGAGAUAAUACCCUUGCCUUUGUGAGUACCGCCCGUUUCCUCGGCAGGCCCGCCUGCCAACGGGGACCCCCAACGCCCUGAAGCACCUGUGACCGCCUGAUAACACAAACAAAAAUCAAAACUUUCAACAACGGAUCUCUUGGUUCUG
Molecule: unclassified non-coding RNA, 215 nt
Filed under: Ascomycota sp.
Lineage: Eukaryota; Fungi; Ascomycota
Description: partial contains small subunit ribosomal RNA, internal transcribed spacer 1, and 5.8S ribosomal RNA
Rfam family: Eukaryotic small subunit ribosomal RNA (bases 1-47)
Source: RNAcentral